UGAAGCUGAUGAUGUUGACGAGAUGAACACAAAAGUGCUUGUAUCCUUCAUUUUAUAUCCCCAAAUCUCUUCAAUCCAGGGGCGGGACUUGUGCAAUGGGCCAGCUGAAUGCAGGUGUGUUCUCCCGUCAACAUGAGGCUCCUGCUUCUCCCGCCCCAAAUACAAACAGAGGUGAGGGACGAUAAGCCAGUUUUUGAGAAGAGGCAUCUGGUGGAGGAGGAGGACAUGUAGAUGCACUCCAAGUUCCUGGACAGAAAGGCAGAGCAUGCCUCAUACCUGCGGCUGGCAGCUCCGCGCCAUGAUCCCUGACUUUUGGCAGUUCCUGUUACUACAUAAACCAAGCAAUGUCUUCAUGGUCGCCCGUGAGGACUUCUCUCCCUUCCG
This is a long non-coding RNA of Oncorhynchus tshawytscha (Chinook salmon), 384 nucleotides long. The record is from Ensembl. NCBI's taxonomy places the organism in Eukaryota, Metazoa, Chordata, Actinopteri, Salmoniformes, Salmonidae.